CCUACGGGGGGCAGCAGUCGAGAAUCAUUCACAAUGGGGGAAACCCUGAUGGUGCAACGCCGCGUGGGGGAAUGAAGGUCUUCGGAUUGUAAACCCCUGUCAUGUGGGAGCAAAUUAAAAAGAUAGUACCACAAGAGGAAGAGACGGCUAACUCUGUGCCAGCAGCCGCGGUAAUACAGAGGUCUCAAGCGUUGUUCGGAAUCACUGGGCGUAAAGCGUGCGUAGGCUGUUUCGUAAGUCGUGUGUGAAGGGCGCGGGCUCAACCCGCGGACGGCACAUGAUACUGCGAGACUAGAGUAAUGGAGGGGGAACCGGAAUUCUCGGUGUAGCAGUGAAAUGCGGAGAUAUCGAGAGGAACACUCGUGGCGAAGGCGGGUUCCUGGACAUUAACUGACGCUGAGGCACGAAGGCCAGGGGAGCGAAAGGGAUUAGAUACCCCUGUAGUC
This 446-nucleotide ribosomal RNA is filed under the name uncultured bacterium. RNAcentral describes it as "partial 16S ribosomal RNA". It matches the Rfam family "Bacterial small subunit ribosomal RNA", at positions 338 to 795 of the family's 1533-position model. The record is from RNAcentral.